RNAcentral lists this ribosomal RNA (601 nucleotides) under Clonostachys sp. JCM 28396. RNAcentral's name for it is "eukaryotic LSU rRNA". It matches the Rfam family "Eukaryotic large subunit ribosomal RNA", at positions 38 to 668 of the family's 3401-position model. Lineage: Eukaryota; Fungi; Ascomycota; Sordariomycetes; Hypocreales; Bionectriaceae. The record is from RNAcentral.
GCAUAUCAAUAAGCGGAGGAAAAGAAACCAACAGGGAUUGCCCUAGUAACGGCGAGUGAAGCGGCAACAGCUCAAAUUUGAAAUCUGGCGCAAGCCCGAGUUGUAAUUUGUAGAGGAUGUUUCUGGCGACGUGCCUUCCGAGUUCCCUGGAACGGGACGCCAUAGAGGGUGAGAGCCCCGUACGGUUGGAUGCCUAGCCUCUGUGAAACUCCUUCGACGAGUCGAGUAGUUUGGGAAUGCUGCUCUAAAUGGGAGGUAUACGUCUUCUAAAGCUAAAUACCGGCCAGAGACCGAUAGCGCACAAGUAGAGUGAUCGAAAGAUGAAAAGCACUUUGAAAAGAGGGUUAAAAAGUACGUGAAAUUGUUGAAAGGGAAGCGUUCAUGACCAGACUUGGGCAGGUUGAUCAUCCGUGGUUCUCCGCGGUGCACUCUGCCUGCCCAGGCCAGCAUCAGUUCGCCCCGGGGGAUAAAGGCUUUGGGAAUGUGGCUCCCUCGGGAGUGUUAUAGCCCACUGUGUAAUACCCUGGGGUGGACUGAGGUUCGCGCUCUGCAAGGAUGCUGGCGUAAUGGUCAUCAACGACCCGUCUUGAAACACGGACCA